GAGCAAGCAUCCCUUUCUCUUUUUCCUAUUGGAACAAUACAGAGAAGAUGAGCAAGUCCCCUGUGCAUAACUGUUUUAGAAAUUGGUAAUGGGUACAAUGUAUAA
Small nuclear RNA from Echinops telfairi (small Madagascar hedgehog), 105 nucleotides. The record is from Ensembl. NCBI's taxonomy places the organism in Eukaryota, Metazoa, Chordata, Mammalia, Afrosoricida, Tenrecidae.